UAUUUUUUUUAAAAACAAAUAAUAACAAAAUAAAAUAGCACAUUAUCAGGAAAAUGAGCUAGACUAAGAAUAUUAAAAUAAAAACAAGUAAUGAGAGCUCUCUACAAUGUGCUCACCACCAUCCCAGCAUCUGGCUGAGCCAGUAAAGACUACCUGAAUCGGCCAGGCGCGGUGGCUCAAGCCUGUAAUCCCAGCACUUUGGGAGGCCGAGGCGGGUGGAUCACGAGGUCAAGAGAUCGAGACCAUCCUGGCCAACAUGGUGAAACCCCAUCUCUACU
This is a long non-coding RNA of Cebus imitator (Panamanian white-faced capuchin), 278 nucleotides long. RefSeq lists it as uncharacterized. NCBI's taxonomy places the organism in Eukaryota, Metazoa, Chordata, Mammalia, Primates, Cebidae. The record is from RefSeq and is a predicted model, not a curated record. The transcript has 2 exons.